This 31-nucleotide non-coding RNA is filed under the name Rattus norvegicus (Norway rat). The record is from RNAcentral. Lineage: Eukaryota; Metazoa; Chordata; Mammalia; Rodentia; Muridae.
UACUAGUCUCAAACUCAGAGAUCCACUUGCC